RNAcentral lists this unclassified non-coding RNA (239 nucleotides) under uncultured fungus. RNAcentral's name for it is "sequence contains ITS1". Lineage: Eukaryota; Fungi. The record is from RNAcentral.
GUAUUGAUCGCGCGUCAUCGCGCAAAGAACAUUCUACAUUACGUUCGAAUGGGUGUUUAAUGUUUAAAAACGUGAGCAACCCCCUCCGAGGAAGGGGGACCCACGCGGUGAUGCACAAAGGGGUGAGAUGGAUGUUUGUAUUGUGAGAGCACUCGGGCGUGCACGACUACUAGAGUCAGCGACAGCCGUGGUACCCCCAUCGUACGAUAAUGAUCCUUCCGCAGGUUCACCUACGGAAA